This 142-nucleotide ribosomal RNA is filed under the name Oxalis corniculata f. rubrifolia. RNAcentral describes it as "partial 26S ribosomal RNA". It matches the Rfam family "Eukaryotic large subunit ribosomal RNA", at positions 1 to 141 of the family's 3401-position model. The record is from RNAcentral. Lineage: Eukaryota; Viridiplantae; Streptophyta; Magnoliopsida; Oxalidales; Oxalidaceae.
GCGACCCCAGGUCAGGCGGGACUACCCGCUGAGUUUAAGCAUAUCAAUAAGCGGAGGAAAAGAAACUUACCAGGAUUCCCCUAGUAACGGCGAGCGAACCGGGAACAGCCCAGCUUGAAAAUCGGCCGUCUUCGGCGGCCGA